RNAcentral lists this ribosomal RNA (505 nucleotides) under uncultured bacterium. Its description in RNAcentral is "bacterial SSU rRNA". It matches the Rfam family "Bacterial small subunit ribosomal RNA", at positions 1020 to 1523 of the family's 1533-position model. The record is from RNAcentral.
UUCGGAGGCGUUACACAGGUGCUGCAUGGCCGUCGUCAGCUCGUGUCGUGAGAUGUUUGGUUAAGUCCAGCAACGAGCGCAACCCCUGUUGCCAGUUACCAGCACGUGAAGGUGGGGACUCUGGCGAGACUGCCCAGAUCAACUGGGAGGAAGGUGGGGACGACGUCAGGUCAGUAUGGCCCUUAUGCCCAGGGCUGCACACGUACUACAAUGCCCAGUACAGAGGGGGCCGAAGCCGCGAGGCGGAGGAAAUCCUAAAAACUGGGCCCAGUUCGGACUGUAGGCUGCAACCCGCCUACACGAAGCCGGAAUCGCUAGUAAUGGCGCAUCAGCUACGGCGCCGUGAAUACGUUCCCGGGUCUUGUACACACCGCCCGUCACAUCAUGGAAGCCGGUCGCACCCGAAGUAUCUGAAGCCAACCGCAAGGAGGCAGGGUCCUAAGGUGAGACUGGUAACUGGGAUGAAGUCGUAACAAGGUAGCCGUAGGGGAACCUGCGGCUGGAU